GAUGAAGAACGCAGCGAAAUGCGAUACGUAAUGUGAAUUGCAGAAUUCAGUGAAUCAUCGAAUCUUUGAACGCAUAUUGCGCUCUUUGGUAUUCCGAAGAGCAUGCUUGUUUGAGUAUCAGUAAACACCUCAAAACUUUUUUUUAUUUUUUAAAAACCAGUUUUGGACUUGAGCAAUCCCAACACCAAUCUUUUUUAGAUCGGUGGCGGGUUGCUUGAAAUGCAGGUGCAGCUGGACAUUCUCCUAAGCUAAAAGCAUAUUUAUUUAGUCCCGUCAAACGGAUUAUUACUUUUGCUGCAGCUAAUAUAAAGGGAGUUUGACCGUUUUGGCUGACUGAUGCAGGAUUUCACAAGGGUCGGCAACGAUUCUUGUAAAACUCGAUCUCAAAUCAAGUAAGACUACCCGCUGAACUUAAGCAUAUCAAUAAGCGGAGGA
This 435-nucleotide unclassified non-coding RNA is filed under the name soil metagenome. RNAcentral describes it as "partial contains 5.8S ribosomal RNA, internal transcribed spacer 2, and large subunit ribosomal RNA". The stretch from base 1 to 120 matches the Rfam family "5.8S ribosomal RNA", at positions 35 to 154 of the family's 154-position model. The record is from RNAcentral.